GUUUUCUUGUUAAGCUGAUUUGCCAUCCUGACAAAUAUUAUCAGCAUCCAAACUUGAUGCUAGAUUUAUGCUUUUUUUUUUUCUUUUUUUUUGGUACCAGGAUUGAACUCAGGCCCUUGAACUUGUGAAGCAGACAGCAGAACCACUCAGCCAAAUCCCCAGCCCGAUUUAUGCAUUUUUAUUUGAGGUAUGAAAGAGUGGAAUUUCUUCUUAAUUCCCAUUACACGCUGAAGACAUGGAGAGGUGUGGGUAUUCCCCACCUACAUAUCUAUAUCACAACAGAGAAUAUGAAGACUACAGGUGCCAGUUCAUCGGGUUAAACUGUUUCAAGGAGGAUAUCCUUGAACGGAAGAAAGAU
This 358-nucleotide long non-coding RNA is filed under the name Fukomys damarensis (Damara mole-rat). RNAcentral's name for it is "lncRNA (ENSFDAG00000022689.1)". Lineage: Eukaryota; Metazoa; Chordata; Mammalia; Rodentia; Bathyergidae. The record is from RNAcentral.